This 234-nucleotide long non-coding RNA is filed under the name Elaeis guineensis (African oil palm). RNAcentral describes it as "long non-coding RNA (EGUI_LNC014921)". The record is from RNAcentral. Lineage: Eukaryota; Viridiplantae; Streptophyta; Magnoliopsida; Arecales; Arecaceae.
AGGUUCUCUCGUUUAUGAUUGUUAAAUAGUUAACAAACUCAUACAUAAUAUUUAGGUCUCACAUGAUAUACAAUGCCAAAUCCAUUGCUAUUUUAAAUAUACAUAGGACCAGAAUUGUUAGUACUUUCACCUACUACUUGCCACAUGACACAUUUGUGUAAAUAACAGAUAAAUAACAGGAUACUUGACAAAUAAAAUCUUAUAAAUCACAAAUAAAGAACAUAACCUCUACUA